UACGUAGGGUGCAAGCGUUGUCCGGAAUUAUUGGGCGUAAAGAGCUCGUAGGCGGUCUGUCGCGUCGGAUGUGAAAAUCCAGGGCUCAACCCUGGACCUGCAUUCGAUACGGGCAGACUAGAGUUCGGCAGGGGAGACUGGAAUUCCUGGUGUAGCGGUGAAAUGCGCAUAUAUCAGGAGGAACACCGGUGGCGAAGGCGGGUCUCUGGGCCGAUACUGACGCUGAGGAGCGAAAGCGUGGGGAGCGAACAGG
This 253-nucleotide ribosomal RNA is filed under the name uncultured bacterium. RNAcentral describes it as "partial 16S ribosomal RNA". It matches the Rfam family "Bacterial small subunit ribosomal RNA", at positions 524 to 776 of the family's 1533-position model. The record is from RNAcentral.